UACAAAUUUGCAAGAUUGAAAGGGAAAUCAAGGCCUAAUAACCUGCAUGAACUCGAUUCUCAAGUAAUCUAAGCUUGUUUUGCAAAGAGGCGUCAAGGAAGAAGGAUCAAAUCAAGUGAAGCAUCAAGGUGAUCACGACCGAGGUAAAUCCCAUGUCUAGUUAUCAAGCUUGCCCGGAAUCGAACACACCUCAAGCCCGUCAAGCGCUCCGCAUUUUGUAUAAAGUCGAUAUCAAAUUACCUAGUUACUUAUGUUUAUGUUUUGUACUUAAACUAGUUGGUCAUGGUUGACUUUUGAAAAGUUGUCGUAGGCGCGUACAUACUUAAUGGUUU
Molecule: long non-coding RNA, 332 nt
Organism: Helianthus annuus (common sunflower)
Lineage: Eukaryota; Viridiplantae; Streptophyta; Magnoliopsida; Asterales; Asteraceae
Exons: 3
Source: RefSeq, a predicted model, not a curated record